GACGAACGCUGGCGGCGUGCUUAACACAUGCAAGUCGAACGGUAAGGGCCUGCUUUUGUGGGGUGCUCGAGUGGCGAACGGGUGAGUAACGCGUGGGUAACCUGCCCGUGACUUUGGGAUAACUUCAGGAAACGGUGGCUAAUACCGGAUAGGAGCUGCUGCCGCAUGGCGGGGGUUGGAAAGGUUCGGCGGUUGGGGUUGGACUCGCGGCUUAUCAGCUUGUUGGUGGGGUAGUGGCAUACCAAGGCUUUGACGGGUAGCCGGCCUGAGAGGGUGACCGGCCACAUUGGGACUGAGAUACGGCCCAGACUCCUACGGGAGGAAGCAGUGGGGAAUAUUGCACAAUGGGCGGAAGCCUGAUGCAGCAACGCCGCGUGCGGGAGGACGGCCUUCGGGUUGUAAACCGCUUUCGCCUGUAACGAAGCGUGAGUGACGGUAAUGGGUAAAGAAGCACCGGCUAACUACGUG
Molecule: ribosomal RNA, 468 nt
Filed under: uncultured bacterium
Lineage: Bacteria
Description: partial 16S ribosomal RNA
Rfam family: Bacterial small subunit ribosomal RNA
Source: RNAcentral